CAACCUCUGACGAGACUCGUGAAUGUUG
RNAcentral lists this non-coding RNA (28 nucleotides) under unclassified sequences. RNAcentral's name for it is "L19-Flavobacteria ribosomal protein leader". It matches the Rfam family "L19-Flavobacteria ribosomal protein leader". The record is from RNAcentral.